AGAAGGGAACAGGAAACAGCAGUAGGACUGCUAGCUAUGGACCUCUCUCAGCCCAGUGAGAACUGGCACCCUAUAUCCAGAUGCUGCUGAACUUUGAGGAAGUUUGAAAGUGAAUCUGAACUCCACAGUUGGACCCACCUCUGACUGAAACCCACAUCUUCAGUCAUUUCUUCUGACUGCUGUAAUGAUGAUGGUGGUGGAUUUCUUUGCCGUUUGAAUUUGCUGUAGAGGAAGAGACAACCACUCACCUAUGUCAAAUAUUAACUGAGGAG
Mauremys reevesii (Reeves's turtle) is the source of this 272-nucleotide long non-coding RNA. RefSeq lists it as uncharacterized. The transcript has 3 exons. The record is from RefSeq and is a predicted model, not a curated record. Lineage: Eukaryota; Metazoa; Chordata; Testudines; Geoemydidae.